Molecule: ribosomal RNA, 492 nt
Filed under: uncultured bacterium
Lineage: Bacteria
Description: partial 16S ribosomal RNA
Rfam family: Bacterial small subunit ribosomal RNA
Source: RNAcentral
AGUGAACGCUGGCGGCAGGCCUAACACAUGCAAGUCGAACGGCAGCACAGUAAGAUCUUGCUCGGGCGGGUGGCGAGGGGGAGACGGGGGGGGAAUACAGCGUAAUCUGCUUUCUCGUGGGGGAUAACGGAGGGAAACUGACGCUAAUACGGCAUAUUACCUACGGGUGGAAGCAGGGGACCGGCGGACCUUGCGCGACGGUGGGGGACGGGGUCGGGUUAGCUAGUUGGGGGGGUAAAGGCCCACCAAGGCAACGAGCCGUAGCUGGUCUGGCAGGAUGAUGAGCCACACUGGAACUGCGACACGGUCGCGACUCCUCCGGGAGGCAGCAGUGGGGAAUAUUGUUCAAUGGGCGGCAGCCUGAUCCAGCCAUGCCGCGUGGGUGAAGAAGGCCUUCGGGUUGUAAAGACCUUUUGUUGGCAAAGAAGAGCGCCAGGUUCAUAUGUCGGUGUUUUGACGGUACCCAAAGAAUAAGCACCGGCUAACUACGUG